Molecule: ribosomal RNA, 328 nt
Filed under: uncultured bacterium
Lineage: Bacteria
Description: bacterial SSU rRNA
Rfam family: Bacterial small subunit ribosomal RNA
Source: RNAcentral
GACGUUAGCUGCAGAAGAAGCACCGGCUAACUCCGUGCCAGCAGCCGCGGUAAUACGGAGGGUGCGAGCGUUAAUCGGAAUUACUGGGCGUAAAGCGCAUGCAGGUGGUUUGUUAAGUCAGAUGUGAAAGCCCGGGGCGUCAACCUACGGAAUUGCAUUUAGAAACUGGCAAACUAGAGUACUGUAGAGGGGGGUAGGAAUUUCAGGUGUAGCGGUGAAAUGCGUAGAGAUCUGAAGGAAUACCGGUGGCGAAGGCGGCCCCCUCGGACAGAUACUGACACUCAGAUGCGAAAGCGUGGGGAGCAAACAGGAUUAGAUACCCUGGUAG